GCUCAAAUUUAAAAUCUGGCGGUCUUUGGCCGUCCGAGUUGUAGUCUGGAGAAGUGCUUUCCGCGCUGGACCGUGUACAAGUCUCUUGGAACAGAGCGUCAUAGAGGGUGAGAAUCCCGUCUUUGACACGGACUACCAGUGCUUUGUGAUGCGCUCUCAAAGAGUCGAGUUGUUUGGGAAUGCAGCUCAAAAUGGGUGGUAAAUUCCAUCUAAAGCUAAAUAUUGGCGAGAGACCGAUAGCGAACAAGUACCGUGAGGGAAAGAUGAAAAGCACUUUGGAAAGAGAGUUAAACAGUACGUGAAAUUGCUGAAAGGGAAACGCUUGAAGUCAGUCGCGUUCGCCAGGACUCACCCUUGCUUUAGCUUGGUGCAUUUUCUGGUUGACGGGCCAGCAUCGAUUUUGGUUGUCGGAAAAAGGCAGGGGGAAUGUGGCAUCUUCGGAUGUGUUAUAGCCCUCAGUCACAUACGACAGCUGGGAUCGAGGACCGCAGCACGCCUUUAUGGCCGGGGUUCGCCCACGUUCGUGCUUAGGAUGCUGGCAUAAUGGCUUUAAACGAC
Molecule: ribosomal RNA, 558 nt
Filed under: Antrodia heteromorpha
Lineage: Eukaryota; Fungi; Basidiomycota; Agaricomycetes; Polyporales; Fomitopsidaceae
Description: LSU rRNA
Rfam family: Eukaryotic large subunit ribosomal RNA
Source: RNAcentral